Long non-coding RNA from Homo sapiens (human), 488 nucleotides. RefSeq annotates it as FIBCD1 antisense RNA 1. The record is from RefSeq and is a predicted model, not a curated record. The transcript is spliced from 3 exons. NCBI's taxonomy places the organism in Eukaryota, Metazoa, Chordata, Mammalia, Primates, Hominidae.
CUGGCCUCACCUACGGCCCGAUCCCGGCUUCCCGGACUGAGGCUGCCCGGGAGUUGGAGAGGAUCCCACAGCAAUGGCUGGGAGUCAGGAGACCCAGAACAUCCUGAUGGACUAUUUAGGUGUGAAAAGCAGAGGCUCAGGGGCUGACCUGGGAGGAGAAGCUGCAGGAAACCCAGCAAGAAAUGCCCAGAGUCUGUCUACCAGAAUUCCACCAUCUGAAGUCCCCGGGGUGCAAAUCCUGUUUGCUGUUAAUUCUUCCAGCUCUCACGUAUGGUGGCUUGUUGUGUCACGUGUUUUGCAAUUUUGCAUUGCGCGUUCCAUCUUUGUCAGAGCUUUAUCCGUGGGAAUCGGUGUGUCUAGGCUGGGAGUCCGUCUCUCCCUGGGGGGUGAGCUUAUACUUCCACGAGGCACCAGAAGACACUCCAAACCCAAGACUGCUUGAAGUUUAGUUCCCAUCUUGCAUGUAGAAUAAAUUCAGAUCCAAAAUA